Molecule: long non-coding RNA, 893 nt
Organism: Oreochromis aureus
Lineage: Eukaryota; Metazoa; Chordata; Actinopteri; Cichliformes; Cichlidae
Source: Ensembl
UUUUGCCCAAUGACAGCUUAGUGUGGAGUCACUGUUUUGUCCAAGCCAAAGGUUUGCCGCGGUGUGUGAUUACUGGAGGAAAAAAGACAGCCCUCUUUCCUGUAUACAGUGUCGAUGGUGGAUGACCUCUUAAACAGUUUCCACAGGAUUUCAGAGGUUCCAGUGAUUGCUGCUGAUGAGCGAAACUUAAAAAGUGGAAACAAUGUCUGUAUUUGACAGAUGGAAGCUCCAGGUGGUUGCUGCUGUGUGUGUGAUCAUCGUGACGACAUCCUAUUUUAUUCUGCCGAAAGAUGUUACCACUACACCAAAACUGAGUUCAUCUCUCCCCACGCAUCUUCCCUCAUCUGGCCCAUGCACCUGUCCUGCUGGCUCAAGCCUUCUUAAAGAACACCUCCCCAAGGAUCAAUAUAAGGAGUUGGCGCAACGGCGAACUAAGGAAUUCCAGCAGUACAAAGCCAGCGGCUUUACCCUUGAAGUCCCGUCUCCUCCAGUGACUCCAAGCUCACUUAGGGACCUAGGGAGCAGUCGUGACUGUGCCUGCCUUGGGUUGUCCCAGGGUUUCGAGGUGGGAUCUUACCCGUCAUGGGCUAUCCAGCCUUCCAUGCUCGCCUGAUACGGGGGCCAACUGGGCAAGGGUGUUAUCAGGUCUAGGGGACACACUUGUUCUGGAAAUUAAAGGAGUGUAAACUGCUUUCUUUAUUUCAUGUGUGUAUUAAACUUUCCAACAAUAAUUUCACAUGUAACAGUUUGUGUACGUGCGUUUUCAAUUCAUUAAUGUAAUUGUUAGUUCAUGUAUUUAUUUCUCUCGGUCUGUCUCUUUUCUAAAACCUGUAAUUAAUAUAAUUUUAUUACUUUUUCUUAAAACAUGCAUUCGCUUCAUCUUCUUGGAAUUU